UGGCGCACGGGUGAGUAACACGUAAGUAAUCUACCCUCGGGGUGGGGAAUAACGUCCGGAAACGGACGCUAAUACCGCAUAAUGCAGCGGCACCGCAAGGUGACAGUUGUUAAAGAUUUAUUGCCUGGGGAGGAGCUUGCGGCAGAUUAGCUUGUUGGUAAGGUAACGGCUUACCAAGGCUACGAUCUGUAUCCGGUCUAAGGGGACGGUCGGACACACUGACACUGAAUAACGGGUCAG
This 240-nucleotide ribosomal RNA is filed under the name uncultured bacterium. RNAcentral describes it as "partial 16S ribosomal RNA". It matches the Rfam family "Bacterial small subunit ribosomal RNA", at positions 96 to 334 of the family's 1533-position model. The record is from RNAcentral.